Molecule: ribosomal RNA, 503 nt
Filed under: uncultured bacterium
Lineage: Bacteria
Description: bacterial SSU rRNA
Rfam family: Bacterial small subunit ribosomal RNA
Source: RNAcentral
GACGAACGCUGGCGGCGUGGAUUAGGCAUGCAAGUCGAACGGUAUCAUCCUUUCGGGGGUGAGAGAGUGGCGAACUGGUGAGUAACACGUAGGUUAUCUACCCUCAAGACGGGGACAACCCAGGGAAACUUGGGCUAAUACCGGAUGUGAGCAACUUUUAGUUGUUUGAAAGGUGGCGUAAGCUGUCGCUUGGGGAUGAGCCUGCGUCCUAUUAGUUAGUUGGUGAGGUAACGGCUCACCUAGGCAAUGAUAGGUAGGCGGCCUUAACGGGUGGUCGCCCACACUGGGAUUGAGAUACGGCCCAGACUCCUACGGGAGGCAGCAGUCGAGAAUAGUCUACAAUGGUCGGAAGACUGAUAGUGCGACGCCGCGUGAACGAUGAAUCCCUUCGGGGUGUAAAGUUCUUUUAUAUGUGAGCAGUGCUUCUUAUAUUAACAGUAUGGGGAGAGAGAUAUUAGCAUAUGAAUAAGCAACGGCUAAACUCCGUGCCCAGCAAGCGCGGU